GCGGGUAUGGCGAAAUUGGCAGACGCGCUAGACUUAGGAUCUAGUUCCUAGUGAGUGCAGGUUCAAGUCCUGUUACCCGCACCA
RNAcentral lists this transfer RNA (84 nucleotides) under Tenericutes bacterium HGW-Tenericutes-1. RNAcentral's name for it is "tRNA-Leu". It matches the Rfam family "tRNA". Rfam says of the family: Transfer RNA (tRNA) molecules are approximately 80 nucleotides in length. Their secondary structure includes four short double-helical elements and three loops (D, anti-codon, and T loops). Lineage: Bacteria; Bacillati; Mycoplasmatota. The record is from RNAcentral.